RNAcentral lists this long non-coding RNA (399 nucleotides) under Homo sapiens (human). Its description in RNAcentral is "HSALNT0299377". The record is from RNAcentral. Lineage: Eukaryota; Metazoa; Chordata; Mammalia; Primates; Hominidae.
UAAUAGAAGAUCCGCUGUCAUUCCAGCUGAAUGAAAGUUUUUCAGAGUUUGGAGUUGGUUGAGAGAUUCUCACGUCAACCCACCUUCCCUCAAAAUAUAGGAAAAGUGGAUUCCACCAGAAUCAACAUGAAUAGAAUGAGCCGAGAGUAAUCCAGGCAGUCCAUUGACUUUGAAAUGAGAGAAAGACAGAAAUGAGACUCCAGAGAAACAAAUCAAUGAUGCAGAGGACAAGCUUUUCCCUUCCAUGAAGCAGAGAAAAAUAAAAUGUAUGAAAAUGAUGAAAGAGAAGACGUUGUGAGACAGAGUACAGGGAGAUAGCCGGGAAUUUUGAGAGGCCCUGAAGAAAAUGCGCCCCUGUACCCCAAAUUAUAAGCAGUACUCAAAGAUGUAUUUGAGGAA